CUGGAUUACAUACUUACCUGGACGGGGUCAAUAGGUGAUCAAUAAGACCUAUGGCCUAGGCUUGUGACCUUCAUUGCACUCUGGAGGGGUGACAGCCUAAGGUCGGCCCAAGUGGUCGAGCCUACGUCAUAAUUUGUUGCAGCGGGGGCCUGCGUUCGCGCGGCCCCUACCCAAACCAAACUAAAAAUAUUCAUCUAUUUAGUUGAUUGAGUAGAGUAAUGCAUAUCUUAUCUAUUAAAAAUACCUUGAUUAUAUAUUUAUCUAUGCUUUGUAAGUCGUAUUUUUGUGUUUACUCCAUGUCAUUUGAAGAUUACCAUGUUACUGUUGACUCAACUAAGCAGCAAUGUCUUCUGUUGUUUGCCUGAGUUAAUGUUGUUUUGGUCUCAACGAUAACGCCUGUCUAUGAUUUCGUACAAUUUCCAUCCCCAUUGGUUGCUGUGUUUUUACCAAGAACAAAUUCACUUCUAGUCAAUCAGUUAGAUCCUCUGAGUGAGCAACAAGUAGCUGACUUUAACAAUUUGCAGCUGUCAUUCCAUCAUGCUGAAGUUGCUCUCUCACAAGAUAUGAGAUGCAGCUAAGUUGCUAUAUUUUAAAGUAUUACUGUAUGUGCCUUGUGGAAGUACAAAAUUUGUUUUUCAAAGUACAGAGAAAUUUAGCAGGGAUGUUUGUCAUUUAGAUAGUUUUCCAAAGUGGUGUAUAUUGUGCUUUGGGAAAAGGGUCUGAUAUACCCCUCAACUUUAUUAUUUAGAGCUGAUAUACCCCUCGUUAUUAAAGUGGCUCAUAUAUACCCUUACUUGUAAACAAAUGACUCAUAUAUACCCUUUUCCU
Solanum pennellii is the source of this 828-nucleotide long non-coding RNA. RefSeq lists it as uncharacterized. The transcript is spliced from 4 exons. Lineage: Eukaryota; Viridiplantae; Streptophyta; Magnoliopsida; Solanales; Solanaceae. The record is from RefSeq and is a predicted model, not a curated record.